GACGAACGCUGGCGGCGUGCUUAACACAUGCAAGUCGAACGGAAAGGCCCUGCUUUUGUGGGGUGCUCGAUUGGCGAACGGGUGAGUAACACGUGAGUAACCUGCCCUUGACUUUGUGAUAACUUCAGGAAACUGGGGCUAAUACCGGAUAGGAGCUCCUGCUGCAUGGUGGGGGUUGGAAAGUUUCGGCGGUUGGGGAUGGACUCGCGGCUUAUCAGCUGGUUUGUUGGGUAGUUGCUUACCAAGGCUUUGACGGGUAGCCGGCCUGAGAGGGUGACCGGCCACAUUGCGACUGAGAUACGGCCCAGACUCCUACGGGAGGCAGCAGUGGAGAAUAUUGCACAAUGGGCCGAAGCCUGAUGCAGAAACGCCGCGUGCGGGAUGACGGCCUUCGGGUUGUAAACCGCUUUCGACUGUGCCGAAGCGUGAGUGACGGUAAUGGGUAAAGAAGCACCGGCUAACUACGUG
Molecule: ribosomal RNA, 468 nt
Filed under: uncultured bacterium
Lineage: Bacteria
Description: partial 16S ribosomal RNA
Rfam family: Bacterial small subunit ribosomal RNA
Source: RNAcentral